CCUUCAUGAAGCUGGAAUUGCUAGUAAUGGCAGGUCAGCAUACUGCCGUGAAUACGUUCCCGGGCCUUGUACACACCGCCCGUCACACCAUGAGAGUUGGAAAUACCCGAAGCCUGUGAGCUAACUGUAAAGAGGCAGCAGUCGAAGGUAGAGCCAAUGAUUGGGGUGAAGUCGUAACAAGGUAAC
RNAcentral lists this ribosomal RNA (186 nucleotides) under uncultured bacterium. RNAcentral's name for it is "partial 16S ribosomal RNA". It matches the Rfam family "Bacterial small subunit ribosomal RNA", at positions 1315 to 1500 of the family's 1533-position model. The record is from RNAcentral.